Molecule: long non-coding RNA, 231 nt
Filed under: Ananas comosus (pineapple)
Lineage: Eukaryota; Viridiplantae; Streptophyta; Magnoliopsida; Poales; Bromeliaceae
Description: long non-coding RNA (ACOM_LNC038017)
Source: RNAcentral
GAAGAAGAAAAAAAGAUUACAAGUAGAGUACUCCUAUCUAGUAAGCGAAAAUAACAGGAAAAUAAAUUGGUCUUCUUAUACUUGGAGAAAAAGACCCUUCUGUAUAGAUGUCUUCUGUUUAUUUAUAGUCCCACCCGUUAUUUAUUUAGUUAUUCCCCACUAUCGGCCACAUCUCUAAUUCUGCGGACUACUCUCGGCUAAUCUUAAUUGCAUCGAUUUUAACCACUUUUU